AUGAACUAUAAAACGUUUCCACUCAUAGUGACCUCAGCAACCUGUGUCCUGUCUUCUCAAUGUGACAGAUUGGGGCCAUCUUCAGAGCCUGCAUCGGAGUGCUCCAUUCUGCGCAGCCCUCCACAAUCUUUGAGGAGCAGGCUUGUACCACAGCCAAUAUCUCUGCUUGGCAACUCUAAUGAACAAAUUGCCACAAAAGUGAGACAGAACACACCUUUUUGA
This 222-nucleotide long non-coding RNA is filed under the name Macaca mulatta (Rhesus monkey). Its description in RNAcentral is "lncRNA (ENSMMUG00000059886.1)". Lineage: Eukaryota; Metazoa; Chordata; Mammalia; Primates; Cercopithecidae. The record is from RNAcentral.